CACCACCACACCUCCACCUACAUCCACACCUCCACCUACAUCCACAUCUCCACCUGUUCUUUCUGUGUUGCCCUUUGUUGGAUCAGUCUGUGUUGUGGUUCUACUGGUGUUACUGGUUCUGCUGGUGAGAGGAUGUGUUCAAAGGAAACUUGAAGAUAAAGAAGAUGGAGACGAUGACAUCACCAGUGACACCACAAACAGUUAUGAUACAUCAUCAAAUCAACAACAAAAUCCAUUCAAACGAACCAGAGAGACUGAUUCAGCUGUGAUUUACUCAGCAGUGAGAACUGAAGACGUCUGUUAUGGACAAACAACCAUCAGAACAAGGAGGCCCAGACUUUAAACCAGAGCCAGACGUCGUCUACUCUUCACUGAAGUAGUCCACCAGUCCAACCACUGACGUCCAGCUGCUGGUCUCUAACUGGUCCCCCCAGCACCUCAGACCAGAG
Long non-coding RNA from Oreochromis aureus, 449 nucleotides. RefSeq lists it as uncharacterized. The transcript has 4 exons. The record is from RefSeq and is a predicted model, not a curated record. Lineage: Eukaryota; Metazoa; Chordata; Actinopteri; Cichliformes; Cichlidae.